Molecule: long non-coding RNA, 603 nt
Organism: Pezoporus flaviventris
Lineage: Eukaryota; Metazoa; Chordata; Aves; Psittaciformes; Psittacidae
Exons: 3
Source: RefSeq, a predicted model, not a curated record
CAGUGCUCACGCAGGAGCAGAUGAAUUUCAGGUGCUACAGAAGGGCUGUGCCUUGCUGCCUCCUAGCAGGUAAUGAAUUAAUUUACCAGUGAGGAGUUAAAACCACUGGGCCUGACCACCCUGCUUAGAUCAAGUGAAUGGGAUUUGCUGAAGAUGUUUAGGUGGAAGAACUGACUGUGCACAGAUUCAGUGACUUGCUGAUGGCUGUGCAGCACAUCUGCCAGAGAACAUCUUCUGUCCAUAGCCCCUGACUACAGUCCAGUGGGCUUCUUAACUGCAACGUUAAGGCAAAAUCCUUGACUUCACCUGUAAUUUAUUGACCCCUGAUGAAGCCUGAUGGGACUUCCACUGAAAGGGAAUCACAAAACAUUCUGCAGCAAUUGGAAUAAGCCAUAAGGAAAACACCAGUAAAAUGAAGUGCAUGAUGGAAGAAAAUAACAGGAUCUCAAGGUCACAACUGAUGUAAAUUCUCCUUCUAAUAUUAUCUCUCAUUCACAAGUGGAAGAACUGACUGUGCACAGGUUCAGUGACUUGCUAAAGGCUGUGCAGCACAUCUGCCAGAGAACAUCCUCUGUCCACAGCCACUGACUAUAGCCCAAUGAG